Molecule: ribosomal RNA, 468 nt
Filed under: uncultured bacterium
Lineage: Bacteria
Description: partial 16S ribosomal RNA
Rfam family: Bacterial small subunit ribosomal RNA
Source: RNAcentral
GACGAACGCUGGCGGCGUGCUUAACACAUGCAAGUCGAACGGAAAGGCCCUGCUUUUGUGGGGUGCUCGAGUGGCGAACGGGUGAGUAACACGUGAGUAACCUGCUCUUGACUUUGGGAUAACUUCAGGAAACUGGGGCUAAUACCGGAUAGGAGCUCCUGCUGCAUGGUGGGGGUUGGAAAGUUUCGGCGGUUGGGGAUGGACUCGCGGCUUAUCAGCUUGUUGGUGGGGUAGUGGCUUACCAAGGCUUUGACGGGUAGCCGGCCUGAGAGGGUGACCGGCCACAUUGGGACUGCGGGACGGCCCAGACUCCUACGGUGGGCAGCAGUGGGGAAUAUUGCACAAUGGGCGGAAGCCUGAUGCAGCAACGCCGCGUGCGGGAUGACGGCCUUCGGGUUGUAAACCGCUUUCGCCUGUGACGAAGCGUGAGUGACGGUAAUGGGUAAAGAAGCACCGGCUAACUACGUG